AACGCAGCGAAGGGCGAUAAGUAAUGCGAAUUGCAGAAUUCAGUGAAUCAUCGAAUCUUUGAACGCACAUUGCGCCCCCUGGCAUUCCGGGGGGCAUGCCCGUUCGAGCGUCAUUAAAUCCAAUCAAGCCUGGCUUGGUAUUGGGCGUCGGGGUCCCCCGCGCCUCAAUUUCACCGGCUGGCCGUCGCCCGUCUUAGCGUUGUGAUACACUUCUCGCUAGCGAUGGGACCGGACCACGCCGUCAGAGCUCACGAAUUUCAAUCGAAAUUCAUCAAGGUUGACCUCGGAUCGGGUAGGAAUACCCGCUGAACUUAA
RNAcentral lists this ribosomal RNA (315 nucleotides) under uncultured fungus. RNAcentral describes it as "eukaryotic LSU rRNA". The stretch from base 1 to 113 matches the Rfam family "5.8S ribosomal RNA", at positions 42 to 154 of the family's 154-position model. The record is from RNAcentral. Lineage: Eukaryota; Fungi.